Molecule: transfer RNA, 79 nt
Organism: Aspergillus carbonarius ITEM 5010
Lineage: Eukaryota; Fungi; Ascomycota; Eurotiomycetes; Eurotiales; Aspergillaceae
Rfam family: tRNA
About the family: Transfer RNA (tRNA) molecules are approximately 80 nucleotides in length.
Source: Rfam
GCCCUUGUAGCUCAGUGGUAGAGCGCUUCACUCGUAUCGCGUCAUGAAGAGGUCCGCGGUUCAAUCCCGCGUGGGGGCA